CCUACGGGAUGCAGCAGUGGGGAAUAUUGGGCAAUGGGCGCAAGCCUGACCCAGCAACGCCGCGUGAAGGAAGAAGGCUUUCGGGUUGUAAACUUCUUUUGUCAGGGAAGAGUAGAAGACGGUACCUGACGAAUAAGCCACGGCUAACUACGUGCCAGCAGCCGCGGUAAUACGUAGGUGGCAAGCGUUGUCCGGAUUUACUGGGUGUAAAGGGCGUGUAGCCGGGUUGACAAGUCAGAUGUGAAAUCCAGCGGCUUAACCGCAGAACUGCAUUUGAAACUGUUGAUCUUGAGUACUGGAGAGGCAGAUGGAAUUCCUAGUGUAGCGGUGAAAUGCGUAGAUAUUAGGAGGAACACCAGUGGCGAAGGCGGUCUGCUGGACAGCAACUGACGGUGAGGCGCGAAAGCGUGGGGAGCAAACAGGAUUAGAUACCCCGGUAGUC
This 442-nucleotide ribosomal RNA is filed under the name uncultured bacterium. RNAcentral's name for it is "partial 16S ribosomal RNA". It matches the Rfam family "Bacterial small subunit ribosomal RNA", at positions 338 to 795 of the family's 1533-position model. The record is from RNAcentral.